GACAGCCCUCGGUUGUGGGGAGACCGCUCCGGUUGUGGGGAGACUCCCCUGGUUAUGGGGAGAUCACCCUAGUUAGGGGGAGACCCCCCCGGUUAAUGGGGAGACCCCCCCCGGUUAUGGGGAGACAGCCCCUGGUUAGGGGGAGAUCGCCCCCGGUUAAGGGGGGACCCCCUCGAUUAUGGGGAGACAGCCCCUGGUAAUGGGGAGACCCCUUUGGUUAUGGGAGACCCCCCCCCGGUUGUGGGGAGACCCCCCUCGGUUAUGGGGAGAACCCCCCCGGUUAUGGGGAGACCCUCUCGAUUAUGGGGAGACCCCCUCUGGUUAUGGGGAGGCUGCCCCCAGGGGGAUGCAGAGGGAGGGGAGGUGGUGGUAGGCAUCUGUAGGGUGGGGGGUGGGAGAUCUGGGGUGCCUGUACCCCCCGGUGUAAUGUGGGGUGGUGUCUGCUGGGUGUCACUGAGCUGCACGGUGCAGCCGGGAUGUGGGGUUUUUGGGGAGAUGAGGGGCACAGCCACCUCGUGGUUUAAUGGGGGCGUGGGGCAGUGGCACCUCGUGGUCCCAUCCGGACCCUCAUCUCUUGGGGAGAUGAGGGUCAGCACCACCUCAUGGUCUAAUGGGGACGUGGGUCAGCGUCACCUUAUGGGCCAACCUGGACAUGGGGCAGUGUCUUUUGGGGAAAUGGGAUCACUGCCACCUCACAGUCUGUGGUAUAGACGAGGGUCACUGUCCCUUGGCUGAGGUGGGUCUGUGGGUGCUGCUAUCUCCUCAUGGUCUGAGGUGGACGUGGGUCAGUGUUACCUUGUAGGUCCAAGGUGGAUGUGGUCAGUGCCCCCUAUGUGGAGAAAGAGGGGUUUCUGCCCCAUAGGGUGAGUGGAGAUGCCCCUGCAAUGGGUCUGUGGGGCUGAGGUGGGAGAAACAGGAGUCACUGUCACCUCAUGGCCUGGCAGGGGGCACGGCUCGGUGGACAUGGGGCAGUGCUCCCCUGGCUGGAGGAGGUGUGGGGGCCCUGCUUUUACUGAGGGGAUGCUCAAAAGGAAGAAAAAUCCCCUUAAAAUGUGUCCGUGGGGCUAAGAUGGUUGGGACUGGGGUUUGCUGUCGCCACAUGGUCUGAGCUGGACGUGGGUCAGUGCCCCUCACGUGUGGGAUGAGGGGAGGUUUGGGGUCACCCCCGCCUAUCUGAGGAGAGAUUUCCCCCAAAAUGAGUCUGUGGGGUGGCUGAACGUGGGCUGCUGUCCCCUCGUGGCAGGGGGACCCCCCAAAAAUACGGAGGGUUGAAGGGGGUCCUUGCUCCUCGGGGUUGUAAACGGUGCCUCAGGGGUGGGCUCUUGCUGCCCUAUGGGGCUGGGGCAGGACUUGGGGGGUAAAUAUGGGGCUGCUCUCCCCUACAGGUGCUGUGGGGGACGCUGACACCUUUCCUGGUGCCAGCAUGGAUGUAGGCCCGGGGGUGACCCCAACGAGGGUCGCAUCCGUACCCCACAAGCUUCACCCCACACAGAGGGGGACCCUCACAGCUCACCCCCAUUCCCUGAAGAGAAACGCAGCGUGAAGCCUCGGCCCUGCUGAGGGGAUGGAGGAAACCUUCUCCCCGACUGGGGUUGUGGGGACAUUUUUCGGGUUGCCAGCGCCGGGCUGAAGGUCAGAGACGGGGACUGCUCCCCCGGAGAGGCCCUGGGGCAGAGGAGCUGCUGCUGAGGGGACGGGGCUGAGGGGGGACAUCUAUAGGGUCAGGGGGAAUCGAAGGACAUCCCCCAACCCGAGCUGCCGGCCUGCGUUAUCCCCUCUGAAAAAAAGGUUUAAGAGGAGAGGCAGGGAGGGAUUCUCCGGGAUGAAAGCCCGGAGAUACAACCGCCUGCACAGCCGCCCGGCAUUUCUGCGGAAAGGGGUGGUGUAAGGACAGCCGUAAAGACCCGGCGUGGCCCGGCGUCCUCCAGGAGGGGACGUGGGCGGAAGGGGUUAAGCCUGCUGCCUAAUGAAAUCAGUGGAGAAGUGGCUGGAGUUAAGAUGGAGACAGCACGCCGGAGCCUGGGGGAGGAGGGCUGCGUGGGUGGAGGCAGGGGAGGGCCUUGACACCUCUUCUGAGGACACCGCUCUUGAGAUAAAAUGAAUAUACCCAUCAAAGAUUUCUUUUUUUUUAUUAUUAGUAUUAUUUUAUUUAUUUAUUUAUUUUAUUUUCCAAAGAACUGAGGGGGCGGAGGGGCGGGGAUGCUGCGUGGGGAGGGCGCGGGAAAUGUAUACCUGGGGGAUCAGCCCCUGGAGCCGCGCACGUAUUCCUUCUGCAUCUUCAAUGUCAUUCGUGUAACGCUCACCACACGUUCAUGUGCUCGACUUCUGCAUUGUGUUGGGGGGGAUAUUUUAUUUCAUUUUGGCCAGGGGAUGCUGAGAGGGGGGUGUGUGGAUGUGCGUGAGGGUGAUGAAUUGGUGCGCUGACCCCUUCUCCUGCUGUCCCUACUGCUCCCAAGCGCUGAUCCCAUCAGCAAAAGCAAUCCAGCGACGCAGAGGCACCUCUGGCAAGUUGGAUUUCUCCCCUCCUGGAGCCAGGAGGAAGAAAUGAUUAUGUAUUAGCCGCGGUGUGAGCCUGCAUUGGCAAAAACAUCCCCCGGCACGCUCGAGUGAGCGGGUGGGGAGGGGGAAACCGAAGCGGCGCCUGGCAGAGGGGGAAUUUGGGGGGGGGGAAUACGAAGGACCCAGGCUCAAAUUACCCAGGCUUUUUGUCAAUGCAGAGAAAAAAUAUUCGCUUCUGAGAUGGUGCGGGGCUGGGACUGCCAAAAGGGACUGGAAAGGAGCUCUGCAGAGCAAACCACGCUAGGUAAAACGAGGGAGCUUCCUCUCCUGUUGAUCGCCAACCUCCCUAGCGCACGGCUCUGGCUUUUUAGGGCAUGCCGAGCAGGGCGAGCAGCAUGAAGCUGCCUCCCAGCACCCGACCGAAGCCGGAAUAACUUCCCGAUGUCUGUGAGCUUGCCUCCACGACGGCAUCUUCUCCCAUCCCCACUCUAGCCAUUGCGAGUGCUGUUACAAUUAAUCUGGGACGCGGUGAUGGGACUCAUGGCUAAAUCUCUUCGUGCUGGUAAGACUCUGACAACGUGGGGAUGGAGGGGGAAGACCCAGAAGGAUGAAAGUUCAGCUCGUCGUGCACCCAGCCUGCUUUCCUGCAUGAGAACGGCACCGUGCUGCGGCUGCACGGGGCGUGAUGAGGGCUGUCCUCAGUUCCCCUGCCCAGGGAGUGAGCGCUGGGGCUUAGUGGGAGUACUGGGCGGAUAUUUCGGGUUUCUUGCCUUGGUUUUUUUUUUUUUUUUGCUCAGCCGAGAGCCUGAGGCUGUGUUAGUGCUGCCCACCUACAGCGGCUGCUGGAAAGAAAGUACACAGACGUGGUGAAAGCGCGCGCGCGUGUGUACACACGUGGGCACACCGAGAUUUUAAUUGAUGCUUGGAGUGCCACGAUCCCAAAUUACCUUCCCACUGGUACCCGGGGGAUUUUUCCCUCACAGAUCUCCUGUUUUCACCUUUCAUCUCAAUCCCUGAGCUUACCUCGAGGACUUCAAGCAAGCAGAGGUCGCUCAUUUUGCGAGGGGUGUUUGUGACAGUCCUGCACCCGAUGCACCUUUCUUGAACCUUUUUAUCCUGGUCAGUGGGUCAUGGUUGCUGUCGAGGAGCAGAGGGAUUGAAGCACAAUCCUUGGCAUUGCUAUUAAAAAAAAAACAUCAUUGAAUUCCAUUGGAUUAAGCGUGUGGGGGCUGAGCUGACACGAGCUCGCCCGAAAAUCUCGCCGUGUCUGGUAGCUGGCAGCGAUGGUAAGGUUCGUGACUCGAGUGCAAGAUAUUUAUGGGUUUUGGUGUUAAAUUUGGUCCGAAUACAUAUUUAGAAGAAAAACUGUGCUAAAAAGAAAAAAAAGAACACGCUCCAGUCACUGUUUUGACAUUAAAUCGCCGUGUGUGUGUGUUUAAGGGAAAAAAAUUCCUAAAGUUUCAGCGAUGGCUUGCCAUCUUGUUUAUUAGUGGAAAGACCAAAUCUCUGACUUGUUCCUCGUUCGGCGUGCCCGGAGGUGGAAGGAUGAAUCGAUGGCUUUAAAAGGAAGACGUGGUAUUUAAUGACUGCGCGAUGAGUGGGUUCGGGCUUUACUAAAAUACUUUGCUCUGGGAUGAACUGGGAGCUGGGUAUCUGCAAAUUGAGCUGAUUUAGAAACCGACAGCUACAACUCCUGAAACGCCAGCCCAAAUCCCCUGGCAGGGGGGGCCAGCAGCGUGUCAGAAGGCCAAGCUGCUGCCCUGACACCCCCUCGCUAUCUUGCUUUGGGAUGUUCAACCCCACAGGGCCUUGCUGUGAUUUUCCUGCCUGCCCUGGCACUCCUGAAUGUGGUUUAUUUUUAUUUUUUUUUUCAGCUUUCUCUGGUUAGCUUGUCUGGCAGCUCAGUUUUUCCCCUUCGCCAAGUUUUAACAGCUUGCUCUGAGAGUACGGAGUUUUGUCAGCUUUCGACAAGUUGGCAGAGGGAGGACGUGCUGGGAUGGAUGCUUAAAUGUGCUCUCCCUCCAAUAUCAUGUCUGGGGCAUAAGAUUUUUACCCAACUUCUCCUCCCCUGUCCCAAUUUUGAAGGGUUUUCUGCAGGAUCUCCGUCAGAGCUGGGCUGCCUAAAUUAAAACACGCCAAGGAUGGCGCACCUAAAGCACAGGUAGGGGAGUUUGUGGGGGCGAAUACUCAUCCCAAAUCAUGAUACCGGCAACAAAAGAGGCUUUCUCACUUGGGUAGGGUCUUUAUUGGUUUUGGGGUGGUGGCGAGGCUCCGUGUCUUGUGGAGUGCUACCCACUAGAGGGGGUCAAACCACAGAUGUUGGAGCAGCUCUGCUGCGCCAGCCUGGGGAGGGCAGAGUUUGCCUCCAAGCCUUCUUCUCUUUGGGCUCUGCCCCGACCUGCUGGGAGCUCCCCGUCCAGGUACUUGGGCUGUUCUGUGUCACAGCAGGGUGUGUGGGGGGUAAGAGGGGCAGGAUUGGGGGCAGAAAGUGGAUUUCAGCUGUGUUUUGAGGAAGGUAGACUGUGGCGCUCCGUUGGCGAGGUGUUGGCGCGGCGGUGAGGGCUCAUUGCUUCCCCACCAGGCUACGUGGGGAUGUAGGAAUGCUUUGGGGCCCUGAUCUUCUUCCUGAGGGAGCCAGCAUAAUAAUUCCUCAUCUUUAGGGGCCAGGACAGUGGCAUGAGGCACUUCUGAGAGCCCAGGAGUCUGAAAUCUACUCCAAAAAUCAUCCUCUUGGGAGCGGGCUGGCACCCCGCUUCCCUAAACCCUUGGACCCCAGCAUCCCUUUUCUGGUUGCUCCAUGCCGAGCUCUAGGGCAGAGAAUUGUGCCUUUUUUUACCCUUUUUUUUUUCCACGUUCCCUACAGUUUUAUUUCUAACCCCAGUGGGAUCAGAGGCAGAGGGGAGGCAGGGUGCGAAGGGCAGGGGGAGAGGCAGCUUCUUUGCAUGCCGAAACAUUCGCCCCUCUGUCUUCCACCUUUCUAGACACUUCCAUUUUGCUGCGAGCUGCACGGAGCUGCUUUUAUUCCUUGCGGUGGUUCUCCUUCUCGGUGUAAAUGUAGGUUAUUCAGGGAGCAUUUCCUUUAAUGAAAAGGACGGAGGAAGAACUGAUGGUGAUAAAGCAGCUCCGUGGAGGAGAGCUGCUCCGGCUGCCUCCAGACCGCGAGGGAAAGAAAUUGGACGUCGAAUGUGCAAUUUUCCUCGGGGAGCGAAGGGAGCCCACGGAGAAGUCUGGAUCCCUCAGAGAACUUCUCCCUGUGCUUCAUUUCCCUCGAAUCCUGACUCCUGACUUGAUUUUUAGCACCUUGCUGCUUUGGAAGCCGGUACUAUAAGGCUGUGACACCCGCGAGCCUUUACGCAGGAGGAAACUGAAUCGGAGAAAUGCUUUGUUAUCAACCAGAGCUCAAAUUAAAUUGGAAUUAAAGCUACAAGCAAAAAAAAACAAAACAGCAAAUGCUGUGACUUCGUUGACCCAUGGCUUCUGAUGAUGGGACUCGGACCUGCUACGGCUCCGGUAGGGCACUGAGGUGCUUUUCCCAAGCCAGACCCCGAGGAAAUGGGGACAGGGCUGGGGUUGGCCCAUGAAAUAUUCACAAUCUGUCCUUAGGUGACUCCGGGGGCAUGGAGGAUCUCUCGCAGAACCGGCAGAGCUCUGGCACCUUUGUCACCUUUUUAGUGAAGCCUGGAGAAAAAACAAAUCUCCCCAAAGAAGCAGCGUGGUGUGGCCGGCAGCUGGAGCAUCCCUCAGCCAGCAAUGGGGUCUCAGUGGGGUUUCUGCGGGGCAGGAGGGCACGGAGGGUGCUGGAGGAGCACCCAUCCCCUAAAAGGGGUGGCAGACAGCCCUGCCAGCGUGCACAGCACUCCAGUGUCGGGAGAAAUGUCCUUUUCUUCAGUUUCUGAUGUUAAAAAAAGAGCAGUUUAACCCUUUGUGCUCAUUUCCCCUGCUCGAACGAGGAGCCCCGCGUGAGAGGGCUGCCAGGAAGGCAUCGCCAGCCGCAGAAAGACAGCAGCAAAGCACCGGGAGCGGCUUGGAGUUUGGGGUUGGAAUUCAUCCCAGUUCUGUCUCAGCAAAGAAGGGGGGGGUGAAAAAAAAUGAGCAACGGAGGCCGAUGCUGUUGAAGUGAAAAUUGUAAAGAGUGGUAUAAGCAGAAGGCAUUUAAAUAAUGUAAACAGUCUGGCAGGGGAGGAAAGGAUGGGAGGCAUUCCAGAAACAAAGGGAAAAGAGUUUUUUUUUUUUUUUUUU
Molecule: long non-coding RNA, 6738 nt
Organism: Anas platyrhynchos (mallard)
Lineage: Eukaryota; Metazoa; Chordata; Aves; Anseriformes; Anatidae
Source: RefSeq, a predicted model, not a curated record